This 461-nucleotide ribosomal RNA is filed under the name uncultured bacterium. RNAcentral describes it as "partial 16S ribosomal RNA". It matches the Rfam family "Bacterial small subunit ribosomal RNA", at positions 338 to 795 of the family's 1533-position model. The record is from RNAcentral.
CCUACGGGGUGCAGCAGUGAGGAAUAUUGGUCAAUGGGCGCAAGCCUGAACCAGCCAAGUCGCGUGAGGGAUGACGGUCCUAUGGAUUGUAAACCUCUUUUGUCGGGGAGCAAGGCCCGCCACGUGUGGCGGGAAGGAGAGUACCCGAAGAAAAAGCAUCGGCUAACUCCGUGCCAGCAGCCGCGGUAAUACGUAGGGAGCGAGCGUUGUCCGGAAUUACUGGGUGUAAAGGGAGCGUAGGCGGGACGGCAAGUCAGAUGUGAAAACUGAGGGCUCAACUUUCAGACUGCAUUUGAAACUGCUGUUCUUGAGUGAAGUAGAGGUGAGCGGAAUUCCUAGUGUAGCGGUGAAAUGCGUAGAUAUUAGGAGGAACAUCGGUGGCGAAGGCGGCUUACUGGGCUUUUACUGACGCUGAGGCUCGAAAGCGUGGGGAGCAAACAGGAUUAGAUACCCCGGUAGUC